AUGGUGGAGGCGCGGCAUACGGCUCAGUAACACGUGGCUAACCUACCCUUGGGACGGAGACAACCCCGGGAAACUGGGGCUAAUCCCCGAUGUGUGAGGAGGCCUGAAAUGGUUCUUCACAGAAAGGGCGUUGAAACCAUGCUUUUCAGCGUUGCCCAAGGAUGGGGCCGCGGCCGAUCAGGUUGUUGGUGGGGUAACGGCUCACCAAGCCUUUGACCGGUACGGGCCGUGAGAGCGGGAGCCCGGAGAUGGGCACUGAGAUAAGGGCCUAGGCCCUACGGGGUGCAGCAGGCGCGAAAACUCCGCAAUACGCGAAAGCGUGACGGGGCUAUCCCGAGUGCCGUCCGCUGAGGAUGGCUUUUUCACGGUGUAAGGAGCCGUGGGAAUAAGGAGAGGGCAAGCCUGGUGUCAGCCGCCGCGGUAAUACCAGCUCUCCGAGUGGUAGGGACGAUUAUUGGGCUUAAAGCGUCCGUAGCCGGCUUGGUAAGUCUCUCGUCAAAUCCAGCGACCUAAUCGUUGGACUGCGGGAGAUACUGUCGGGCUAGGAGGCGGGAGAAGCCGAUGGUAUUCCCGGGGUAGGGGUGAAAUCCUAUAAUCCCUGGAGGACCACCAGUGGCGAAGGCGAUCGGCUAGAACGCGCUCGACGGUGAUGGACGAAAGCUGGGGGAGCGAACCGGAUUAGAUACCCGGGUAGUCCA
RNAcentral lists this ribosomal RNA (698 nucleotides) under uncultured marine archaeon. RNAcentral's name for it is "bacterial SSU rRNA". It matches the Rfam family "Archaeal small subunit ribosomal RNA", at positions 67 to 748 of the family's 1478-position model. The record is from RNAcentral.